UGACGCUGGCGGCGUGCUUACACAUGCAAGUCGAACGGUGAAGGAGAGCUUGCUCUUUGGAUCAGUGGCGAACGGGUGAGUAACACGUGAGCAAUCUGCCCCUGACUCUGGGAUAAGCGCUGGAAACGGCGUCUAAUACUGGAUAUGAACCGCAGCCGCAUGGCUAGUGGUUGGAAAGAUUUUUCGGUCAGGGAUGAGCUCGCGGCCUAUCAGCUUGUUGGUGAGGUAAUGGCUCACCAAGGCGUCGACGGGUAGCCGGCCUGAGAGGGUGACCGGCCACACUGGGACUGAGACACGGCCCAGACUCCUACGGGAGGCAGCAGUGGGGAAUAUUGCACAAUGGGCGCAAGCCUGAUGCAGCAACGCCGCGUGAGGGACGACGGCCUUCGGGUUGUAAACCUCUUUUAGCAAGGAAGAAGCGAAAGUGACGGUACUUGCAGAAAAAGCGCCGGCUAACUACGUGCCAGCAGCCGCGGUAAUACGUAGGGCGCAAGCGUUAUCCGGAAUUAUUGGGCGUAAAGAGCUCGUAGGCGGUUUGUCGCGUCUUGCUGUGAAAACUGGGGGCUCAACCCCCAGCCUUGCAGUGGGUACGGGCCAGAC
Molecule: ribosomal RNA, 600 nt
Filed under: earthworm cast bacterium C10D1
Lineage: Bacteria
Description: bacterial SSU rRNA
Rfam family: Bacterial small subunit ribosomal RNA
Source: RNAcentral